RNAcentral lists this long non-coding RNA (719 nucleotides) under Glycine max (soybean). RNAcentral describes it as "long non-coding RNA (GMAX_LNC004408)". Lineage: Eukaryota; Viridiplantae; Streptophyta; Magnoliopsida; Fabales; Fabaceae. The record is from RNAcentral.
GAACCAGUCAGAGCUCAAAGAGGGAGAGGGGGAAAAGUUGAGGAAAAAGUUAACAUGAAGAUGGUGCUGUGGUGGAACUGCUAUUGGUUCUAAUGGUGUUCUUGGAAGAUGACAAUCCUCGUGUUUCAUAGAGGGCACUGUGGUUUUGUUGAUGGUGGUGCCCUGUACACUACUUACAAGUUCUAAUGGCAUUCGGGGAAGAUGAUGAUGGAUAAGUGUUUCUUAAUUGGUUGGUUUUGGAGGCCUGAAUAUUUAUUUGUUUCGUCAUUUGAACAACAAAAAAAUAACAACCAAGGCAACAAUAAUAACCAAGCUUGGUAUUCCAAAAGAUAAACCUGCGCGCAGAAUUCAUGAUGGAAUGUCAUAGAAUGAUUCUCCUACAUACGUUGCAAUGUCUAGUUUUUCUAAAAGAGCACUUGUUAAUUUGUACCUUUUUAAGUUCAACUAUGUCCUUUUUUUUUUUAGGCAAGUUUAACUAUGUCUUUAACAAACCUUGUUCACUAUACAUGGUGAUAAUAAUGUACCAACACAAUAAGCAGAAACGAAGGAUCAAGGGUAUAUGCUUGGUUCGAAGCCAAGGUUCCCUGAACCUUGAAGACAAUCUGCAGUUGCUAUUCACUUUGAGUUUAAGAUUUUUUCAUAUGGAUGAAGUGGGUUAGCCUGGAGAAGACUUAAAUUUUUAGAGUGUGAAUUAUGAACCAUGAUUAUUACCAUGUGAG